GAGAUCCAGGAAGUCGCUUCUUUUUCUGGCAGAAGGCGGGGUUCUCCCCGUACGCUGCGGAGUCUCUGCGGGGUGUAGACCGGAAUCCUGCUGACGGGCAGAGUGGAUCAGGGAGGGAGGGUCGAGACACGGUGGCUGCAGGUCUGAGACAAGGCUGCUCCGAGGUAGUAGCUCUCUUGCCUGGAGGUGGCCAUUCAUUCCUGGAGUGCUGCUGAGGAGCGAGGGCCCCUCUGGGGUCUCUGGAAGUCGGUGCCCAGGCCUGAAGAAUAGCCCCCCCUUGCGCUUCCCUGGGCUGCGACCGGCCUUCUCAGAGCGAAGGGCGUCCUUCCACCCCGCGGCGCAGGUGACCGCUGCCAUGGCUUUUCCCCAUCGGCCAGACGCCCCUGAGCUGCCUGACUUCUCCAUGCUGAAGAGGCUGGCUCGAGACCAGCUCAUCUAUCUGCUGGAGCAGCUUCCUGGAAAAAAGGAUUUAUUCAUUGAGGCAGAUCUCAUGAGCCCUUUGGAUCGAAUUGCCAAUGUCUCCAUCCUGAAGGCACUCUUAUGUCCAUUGUCUUAUUGGAUUCUCUCUGUAGCAACACGAAGUAGACAAGCUAUACAAGGUGGAGAACAAGCCAGCCCUCAGCUCCAAUGAACAAUUGUGCUUCUUGGUCAGACCCCGCAUCAAGAAUAUGCGAUACAUUGCCAGUCUUGUCAAUGCUGACAAAUUGGCUGGCCGAACUCGCAAAUACAAAGUGAUCUUCAGCCCUCAAAAGUUUUAUGCGUGUGAGAUGGUGCUUGAGGAAGAGGGAAUCUAUGGAGAUGUGAGCUGUGAUGAAUGGGCCUUCUCUUUGCUGCCUCUUGAUGUGGAUCUGCUGAGCAUGGAACUACCAGAAUUUUUCAGGGAUUACUUUCUGGAAGGAGAUCAGCGUUGGAUCAACACUGUAGCUCAGGCCUUACACCUUCUCAGCACUCUCUAUGGACCCUUUCCAAACUGCUAUGGAAUUGGCAGGUGCGCCAAGAUGGCAUAUGAAUUGUGGAGGAACCUGGAGGAGGAGGAGGAUGGCGAAACCAAGGGCCGAAGGCCAGAGAUUGGACAUAUCUUUCUCUUGGACAGAGGUAAAUUAUGCCCAGCGUUCCUGUCAUCUUUCAGCCCUAGAAGACACGGGAAUAUGGAAAGCGUGGUGGCAAAGUUAAAAUCCUAAAGUUAGGGCUGUGAAUCCCAGCUUUGAGGAGCGUGGGUCCUUGGCCCUAUGGAAAGUAUCAAAGCUGCCCUUGGACAUGCUGUGUAGAAGGCUGGGUCAGGGAGAACCUUCAUGGUCAGGGAUCUCUGUUUCAGAUGUGGACUUUGUGACAGCACUUUGCUCCCAAGUGGUUUACGAGGGCCUAGUAGAUGACACCUUCCGCAUCAAGUGUGGUAAGUGCUAUGGUCCUCUGCAUCUUGGCAAGAUGGACGGGUCAUCAGCCUUGGCACCUCCCACAUGGGGCAGGGUUUGUGGGAGAGACCCAGACCCUGAAUGAACUGCUGGCUUCCAGAUAGUUUGAGGACCUUUAUGGCAGUUCAGGGAAUGGUAGGAGAAGUCCUCAUUGGAGAUCCUAAUAGCUGUCCCUCUGCUCUCAAAGGGAGUGUCGACUUUGGCCCAGAAGUCACAUCCUCUGACAAGAGCCUGAAGGUGCUACUCAAUGCCGAGGACAAGGUGUUUAAUGAGAUUCGGAAUGAGCACUUCUCCAAUGUCUUUGGCUUCUUGAGCCAGAA
This 1732-nucleotide small RNA is filed under the name Pan troglodytes (chimpanzee). RNAcentral describes it as "retained intron". The record is from RNAcentral. Lineage: Eukaryota; Metazoa; Chordata; Mammalia; Primates; Hominidae.